CCGCAGCCCUGCGAGCGGCCCCGGGGUAUUUUCCGCUCCUUCCCGCCGCGCUCCAUCACUCAGGCGGGGCGGUGGGAGGGACGGCCUGAGAGGCCGGUCUUCCGCCGCCUCCCUGGGCGCCUGAGCGGGGAGGGCCCGGCACCUGCUUCCCCCGCCCGCCCCUCGGUCCGGGGGGUGACGUGCGGCAGCCGCAGCUCCCGGGCGGGAGGGGCGGCCCCGGUAAAGGGAGAGACGGCGCUGCCGCCGUUCCGCGCCUUGCUCGGGGCACGGAGUUGAUGAUUAACCUGCGGUUCAUUGAAUACCUACCUGGCUCAAGUCGCGCCCAGGAUGUGGUUUAACCUUGUCCGAGGUUUCGGUACCUCGGGUUUUGCCUUUCUGCCUGAGACCCUGGUGCUGCCAGUUUUGCUGCUACCGAAGCGCUGCGGGGAUGUGCAGCUCCCCGUUGAAAAUCUCUGCUGUUAAUAUCAGCCUAGACUUCGCUUUACAGUCGUUUUUAGAGGUUUGAGGCUCCAGAGGUCGAGGUGAUGUGGGACUCUCGGUCUCGGCGAGCAUUUUUGCAGCAGCAGCAGCAGCAGCAGCAGCCUCGGGCUGCAGUAGCUGGCACUUGAAUCCAUGUUGGCUCCUUUUCCUCGGGCGUGAGCUGCAAGGAGCUCAGCAGCUUCGGCAUUUAGUCCCAUUUGGGGAAACGUCUGUCCUUUGUGAGGAUGCCAGUACAGUUACAGCCACUGACACUAUACGUGACCAGAGGCUCCAGUUUCUGGCAUCUCUUUCUAUCGUCAGGAAAGUAGUUUCACAUCUCGGCCAAAACUCAAACCCAGUCAUCUGCUUUUUAUAUGGCAGCAGCGCCUAGCAAGGUGUGGACAUAUCUGUCUUGAUAGGAUGUCAUGAGAGCAUCUCCUUGCAAUUUGUUUCUCUUCCCUCAGACAAGGUGCCAGCACAAUGACUUGUUCCUUGGUAGUCAGUGAGAAAUUGGUGAUAAGAGAGGAAAUCUCAAAAUUACUGCGUGGAUAUAGUUCAAUUUCUUCAGAUUAUCUGUAAAUUUUCAAUAAUGGCAAUACAUUCAUUCUGCCAUUUGGAGGAGCCUGUGCCACAGAAUAAUGAUCUGAAGAAAGCUCACUUAUUUGCAAGGAAGAGUCUUCAUUUGGGAAUUAGCACCGAUGCAGCUAAGAGGUGCUUCCUCAAGUUCAGCAGAACUGUUAUUGUUUCCCCUCUGGUACGUGGACAAAAGUGGGUUUUCUUCACAGAUCAGGAUUCCUGUACCUGAAGAGUAAGAAGAGACAUUGUCUUUCAUUGCAACUUGCUGUGGACUAACUUCCUACUGUAUCAUUUAGUCCUGGAGACAUCAGCUGUAUAUAUUCCCGCCCUCCAACCUUGUUUAUCUGCUUUACACAUAAAGGAAACCAUUUUGGUAGGUGUGGGUUGCUUGUCAGAAAUCUGUUCCAAAGCUAGAGUGCGAAGCAAGAAGGGUGCUAAUGAUGAAUACGAAUGGAUAUCUUAAGGAUAACAAUGGACACGGCAUCUUCAAAAGCAGUGGCAUUCUGGAAUUUUCCAUGUUUAUUAUUGUCCACAUUUGAACCCUAUCCAGUUUUUUAGUACCCUUUUGGAGAAGGGGUGACCUGUACCUCAUAUGGGAUUUUCUUUUUCUGCAAUAAGCAUGUUUUUGGAGACCCUGAGAAUUUCUUAGCAUGUAAGAAAUUCUGUAUGUGUCCUGGAUCCCCCUAUACCUUCCCAUUGCUCUGAUUCUCCCUUCUCUUCAUUUGCUGUGUGGAAUUGUCUUGAAGAUUUGCCCAUGAUUCACACUGGGGAGAAAAUAGCUGGUGCCAGCCAUGAACACAAUCCAGCUCUUUGUUAUAGGAUUGAGGAAUUUAGGAAAUACCAGAGUUGAAGUUGAUGCACAUAGCUGUGCAUCAUAUACCAGAUAUUUAGACCCUAAUCCUGCCACUGGAUUUGUUCAAAUGGACCUUGAUAGCUGUGGGGCCUGACUGAGUUGAUGGGACUCCUGGAUGACUGCAAGCUCCUACUCUGAAGAUCUGAUUGUAGGCCUGAACCUAAAUUUCUAUUUCCUUCCCCUGUCUACCUGCUUCUGAUUGAUGAAAAUUAUCCAGAAAACUGUAUUGUCUUUGAGUCUUAUGCACAUCACUUUAGUAGCAUUCAGAAGCUGUGUGCUUGGGAUGUUGUCAGACAUUGUUAAAAUAUUUCUGUUCCGUCAUGUGCCAAUAUCUCAUGAUUGUUCUGAUUGUUGUGUUAUAUUUUUACAUUUACCGUCUUCCUACCUAAAAUGGAGAUCAUCACCUGUGUUUUCGGUCAUUGUGGUAUUUCUCUUAACUCAGAUUUUUAAGUCAGAGUAACUGUUAAAACUAUUCAGAACUUUUUUCAAGAUGUGGGUAGAUUUGUUUUUCCCUUGGCGGACACAGAGUAUAUCUAUUUUAUUUUGCAAACUUAGUAGCCUACUAGUACUGAAAGCUUUCAAUAUGAUGAUACUCUAAUGCAGAUCAAUAAAAUAAGUAGGAAAAGGCAUUAACUUUUACUAGAUCUCCUGUUGCUUUUCUAUUUCUGUGGCUGUGAUUACAUGACAUACAGCUGGGAGUGAGGAUAUUUUUUUUUUUUGUGAGCCAGUGAAUAUCUUUUGAUUACACUGAGUGCUGUUCCCUGUGUAUUCCGUAUGACCAUGUUGCAGUUUCACCAAGUACUAAAGUUAUAGCCCUGAUAGAAGCUGGAAAGGACUUUGCAAAAUCACAUUAAAAGAGUUCGAGAGGGAAAACAGAUCUGUUUCAUCUCUAUGCAUCUUAGUAUUUAUUUUGUGUAUUUUUUAAAAAACAAAUACGUAGCAAUAUGUGAUAAUUAACGUAUUAAAAGAUCAGAACUUUCUCAGUAUAUAGAGAAUGAGAAAAAUCUUUUUUGUUUUGUUGGUUUAUUACAGUGCUUCUGUAAGCACUGUAAGCUAAGAUCUUCACAGUAUUUGAUGAAUUUUCGCAUAUUCCCAGAACAACAGAAAAGCACCACUGUCCUGUUUGACCAAGGAGAAAAUUGAGCCACUUGUUCAGUCAGUAGUAAAGUCAAUGAUAUUAAUUGGGUUCUCCUGCCUUUUAACCUUUUGCCUCUGGCUCCAUUUCUCCCUCAAGAGCCAAACCUUCCAUUAUCAUCAUCUGUUUUGCAUUUCUGUGUGAAAGGCCCAAGGUGUUACGGUUUGGACUCCCAGAAAAUGAGGAAGACAAGGUUGGUGGCCAUCUGCCAAGGUGCUUGGUCUGACUUGCUCCUUGCUCACAGAAGCCGAUGGCAAAGGCAGAACUGAGUGUUCCUGUGUGGCAUUCAACUGCCUUAACCACAUGCCCAUCGCUCUCUUCCUGUAGUUGUCUGUCUUGUUCUUUGCAUAACUCCUAGAGCAAACACAUAUACCAACCUAUAAAUAAUCUAAUUCGAUACACAACCCUGAUUCAUUUCCUGAGCUGCAUGUCCUGCAUACACAGGGUGGCCGCGGUCCUGCGGAAAAAUUCAGCAGGGUGCAUGAGGCUGAAUACUAAGGCUGUUAAGUAUUUAAACUUUGCAAUGAAAUGGCGUUCCUUUAAUGUAGCUUAUUAUAGAUAUAGCUUGAAGUAUUUUUAACAAGGAAGAAGAGAAAAAUGAAGGCUUUUAGAACUGAUUGUAACAGUUUCCCUGUCUGGCAUGUGGACAUGAAUAUCCAGCUCAGUGAAAUACAGAACAUCAGCCAGUGGGAGGAGGCUGGCCACCUCUGGGGAAGAAGGGAAGGAAGAAGGCUGGGUAGUAAAUGCCAUGGGUAUACCCAGUUUACUUUCAAGUCUUGGGGAAUAUUUGUGUGGCAUUGACCCUAGCUUUUUAGCUUUUGUUUUCUUUUCAGGAGAAUUGCUCCUUCAGAAUUGCUCAGUGCUGUAGACAUUGGGGGUGUUCCUGCAGCCUGCUAAUAAUUUAAAUGGAGAAACAGAAAUCAAAGGUGGGCUUUUCUCCUGUGUUCUUCUGUUGGAAAAUAAGAGGAGAUGCUCCCGGAGUCUCCCAGUUCUCUCCUCAAUGAAUUUCAGGGGCGAUCCGUGUGAUCUUUGAUUUCACUUAAAUAAUAGAAAAUACUGCUCUCGACUUGCCCCUUUAGUCUUCUUCCCAGUCAAAAUGUAGUGGCCUGCUGUGUUUCUAAGCUACCAAGGUGUGUAGGCUCCAGUGCCAGAGCAGUCUUGUUGGGAAUCACAAACCUAUGUCUCUAUCUUUUAUGUUAGACUUUAUUAGGAGGAUAAGUUUUUUUCAGAGAAAUCUUGCCAGACUGUGGGUUCAGUUUCAGUUUUUGUUAAUGUCUACCUUAUCUGUCGAUGGCACUUGAGAUUUGUCACCAAGCUAGUGAUUUGCUUUGAGGAAAACAGAACAAUCUCAUACUUUGCUUUUGCAUGCUUUUCCCUAGGAUAUGCAGUCUUUCCCUAGGAUAUGCAGUCUUUCCCUAGGAUAUGCAGUCUUUCCCCACAGCAACUUCAGAUGUCCUGUAAACAGCUCAGGUGGGGAUCCUAUUAGGGAAAAUUUGUUCAACCCAUUCACUGAAAUUCAUGAAAAUCAAAAUGCUUGCAAAAGGGUAUCAGUUCCACUGUCAUUUUGUUGCAAAGAAAAAAUGAACCCCCUGCUUUUAACACUGCGGUUUUUUAAUAAGUGUCAGUUUUCAUCAUUUCACAGCUGUAUAGAAAUUGUGGGAGCAGGAUGAAACAGUCUUGAUACAAAAGAAUCACCUUAAGCCAGUAUCUCAAGUCAACACUUUGUAUCGUGAAACCAUGGCCUGAAACUGCUGCCUGUCAUAUCAGAUAAUAUUAUCAUUGAUUUAUUAUGUUACUUCAUUUGUAACCUUUUGGCAGCGAUGGGGGUUUUUUCUGUUUUGUUUUUUUUUCCUCUUGGUUUUGGCAUUGGGGUUCUUUUUUGGAGAGGAGUGGGUGGGUUGGGUUGGUUUUUUUUUACCAGCACCUACUUGAGCCCUGAUCCAUGACUUGGCUUCCAGGUACUAGGAUAAUACAAGUAGUAAUCAUGCCUGCUGCUAAAAAUUUUCUAACUUAUUUCAUUUGCAUUUGUUUGCCUUCAUCUUCCAGUCAUGGAUUCUUGUUAUUCCUUCUCUGAUGGAUUAAAGAGCUCUUUAGGACUCACUAUUUUCUCCCCAGGAAGGUGCUUUUACCCUGUAAUCAAGUUACUUCUCAAUUUUUUUUAUUUUUUUUUUUUAUGAAACAUCUAAACAGAUUGAGUUUUUUAUGGUUCUUAAUUUUUUUUUUCUCAUUCUCAGAUGAUUUUUGUGGCUCUUUUCUAUCCAUUCUCUAUUUUUUCUUUUAAAAAAAGAGACAUAAAACUGUAUUUUACUAGUCACAUAUACAGAAGUAAAAUUACUUCUCUGGUUUCUCUUGUGUUAGUAUGGUUAGAAAUUGAUGUUUUUGCAAGGUUAGAUAAAAUAACUACCUGAUAUGAGUUCUACAUGUCUGAGUGUAAUUAUUAGAGGACAGAAAAUGAUGUAUUGUUUUAAAAACAUUUAAAUGUUUUUCAAUGUUUUAAAAUGAUCCAAAAAUCAGCAAGAGUGGGUGUGUAGAAGGGGUUGCAAAAUAUUUGUGUGAGGUUUUUAAGGAGAUAGAAGUGAAAUAAAAAUAAUAAUCUUAAUUGUAAA
Long non-coding RNA from Pipra filicauda (Wire-tailed manakin), 5629 nucleotides. RefSeq lists it as uncharacterized. The record is from RefSeq and is a predicted model, not a curated record. The transcript has 12 exons. Lineage: Eukaryota; Metazoa; Chordata; Aves; Passeriformes; Pipridae.